This 380-nucleotide ribosomal RNA is filed under the name uncultured Ehrlichia sp. Its description in RNAcentral is "bacterial SSU rRNA". It matches the Rfam family "Bacterial small subunit ribosomal RNA", at positions 111 to 527 of the family's 1533-position model. Lineage: Bacteria; Pseudomonadati; Pseudomonadota; Alphaproteobacteria; Rickettsiales; Anaplasmataceae. The record is from RNAcentral.
UAACGCGUGGGAACCUACCUAUCGGUACGGAAUAACGCACAGGAAACUUGUGCUAAUACCGUAUGAGCUCUUCGGAGGAAAGAUUUAUCGCCGAUGGAUGGGCCCGCGUCGGAUUAGCUAGUUGGUGAGGUAACGGCUCACCAAGGCUUCGAUCGGUAGCUGGUCUGAGAGGAUGAUCAGCCACACUGGGACUGAGACACGGCCCAGACUCCUACGGGAGGCAGCAGUGGGGAAUAUUGGACAAUGGGCGCAAGCCUGAUCCAGCCAUGCCGCGUGAGUGAUGAAGGCCUUAGGGUUGUAAAGCUCUUUCGUCGGGGAAGAUAAUGACGGUACCCGAAGAAGAAGCCUCGGCUAACUCCGCCCCUCACCGCGGUAAUACG